ACACGGAGGGUGCAAGCGUUAUCCGGAAUCAUUGGGUUUAAAGGGUCCGCAGGCGGAUUAAUAAGUCAGUGGUGAAAUCCUCUCGCUCAACGAGAGAACUGCCAUUGAAACUGUUAGUCUUGAAUUCGGUCGAAGUAGGCGGAAUGUGUCAUGUAGCGGUGAAAUGCAUAGAUAUGACACAGAACACCGAUAGCGAAGGCAGCUUACUAGACCUGGAUUGACGCUCAUGGACGAAGGCGUGGGGAGCGAACAGGAUUAGAAAUCCCAGUAGUCC
This 274-nucleotide ribosomal RNA is filed under the name uncultured bacterium. Its description in RNAcentral is "partial 16S ribosomal RNA". It matches the Rfam family "Bacterial small subunit ribosomal RNA", at positions 523 to 796 of the family's 1533-position model. The record is from RNAcentral.